GGCUGGAUCACCUCCUUUCUAAGGAAGAUUGGAAGCAAUUCCGGUCUUUACUUAACACUCUACGGAGCUGCGGUUCUCAAGCCGUGGUCGCUGCCGCUGUCGUAUCCCUUUCCUUUGAUGGUACUUGGCGAGACGGAGUUUGGUCGAAAGACCAGGCGUUCCGUCGCUUCGUCUGCCCGAAACGGGCUAGUAGCUCAGCUGGUUAGAGCGCGCGCUUGAUAAGCGUGAGGUCGGAGGUUCAAAUCCUCCCUGGCCCACCAAGUCGCGCGAUCGGCUCUUCCUUCGGGUAACAGCCGGUUCGCGCCGGAGGACGAAGCGCAGAUCGCGCCGACCGAAAGCUCAAACGGGGGCAUAGCUCAGUUGGGAGAGCGCCUGCUUUGCAAGCAGGAGGUCGUCGGUUCGAUCCCGUCUGCCUCCACCAUCGCAUAGAACAAAGCGCCGUAUGCCGGCGCAGGUAUCGUUCUUUGACAUCGUUCAUCGGAAGAGAAGAGGUCUUAAAGUCUAGAUCCUCGCUCUGUCGCCUAGGCAGAGUGGAAGGAUUGGGUAAGAAGGCCGUUUCGUGGGUGGGGGUCGUCCCCUGCACGGAACGAGCCGAUAUGAUGAUCGCAAGAUCGUCAUUUCGCUGACAAAACGUGAGAUCAAGCACAAUAAGGGCGUUUGGCGGAUGCCUUGGCACUGAGAGGCGAUGAAGGACGUGGCAGGCUGCGAUAAGCUUCGGGGAGUUGCCAGCACACUUUGAUC
This 741-nucleotide unclassified non-coding RNA is filed under the name uncultured fungus. RNAcentral describes it as "sequence contains 18S rRNA gene, ITS1, 5.8S rRNA gene, ITS2, 28S rRNA gene". The stretch from base 184 to 257 matches the Rfam family "tRNA". The record is from RNAcentral. Lineage: Eukaryota; Fungi.